Molecule: ribosomal RNA, 503 nt
Filed under: uncultured bacterium
Lineage: Bacteria
Description: partial 16S ribosomal RNA
Rfam family: Bacterial small subunit ribosomal RNA
Source: RNAcentral
GAUGAACGCUAGCGGCAGGCCUAACACAUGCAAGUCGAGGGGUAGCAGGAUUAAGCUUGCUUAAUUGCUGACGACCGGCGCACGGGUGCGUAACGCGUAUGCAACCUACCUUAUACUGGGGUAUAGCCCGGAGAAAUUCGGAUUAAUCCCCCAUAGUACUAAUGAAUCGCAUGGUUUAUUAGUUAAAGCAUUGCGGUAUAAGAUGGGCAUGCGUCCUAUUAGCUAGAUGGUGAGGUAACGGCUCACCAUGGCUACGAUAGGUAGGGGGGCUGCGGGGUCGGCCCCCCACCCGGGAAAGGAGACCGGAACCAGACCCGUACGGGAGGGAGCAUGGAGGAAUAUUGGUAAAGGGGCGCAAGCUUAACCCAGCCAUGCCGCGUGCAGGAAGAAGGCCUUAUGGGUUGUAAACUGCUUUUAUUUGGGAAAAACCCUCUUUACGUGUAGGGAGCUGGGGGUACCAAAUGAAAAAGCACCGGCUAACCCCGUGCAACAAGCCGCGGUAA